Molecule: long non-coding RNA, 1765 nt
Organism: Salvelinus fontinalis (brook trout)
Lineage: Eukaryota; Metazoa; Chordata; Actinopteri; Salmoniformes; Salmonidae
Exons: 2
Source: RefSeq, a predicted model, not a curated record
CAACGUUACAAAUGUUUAAGCUACACAGUUGUUAUUUGUAAUAUGUCCUAUAUAAUGAUACUUUAAAUUCUGCAACUGUGUUUAUGCAGAUAAUCGUUUAAACAAAUGGUUCAAACUGCAGGCAAAAUUGUAGAGAGACAAAUGGGGACCUUCCAAACACGUGAUUUUUAAGUGCGGAAAAUGUGAUUUAAAAAGACGAGGGAAAACCGCACGCGAUCGGUGUGGUCAGCCUAUGAGACAGGAGGGGUCGGGAGACACUGUGGCCCCAUCCGACGAUACCCCCGGACAGGGCCAAACAGGCAGGAUAUAACCCCACCCACUUUGCCAAAGCACAGCCCCUACACCACUAGAGGGAUAUCUUCAACCACCAACUUACAAACCUGAGACAAGGCCGAGAAUAGCCCACAAAGAUCUCCGCCACGGCACAACCCAAGGGGGGGCUCCAACCCGGACAGGAAGAUCAUGUCAGUGACUCAACCCACUCAAGUGACUCGCCCCUCCUAGGGACGGCAUGGAAGAGCACCAGUAAGCCAGUGACUCAGCCCCUGUAAUAGGGUUAGAGGCAGAGAAUCCCAGUGGAAAGAGGAGAACCGGCCAAGCAGAGACAGCAAGGGCGGUUCGUUGCUCCUGUGCCUUUCCGUUCACCUUCACACUCCUGGGCCAGACUCAAUCAUAUGACCUACAGAAGAGAUGAGUCUUCAAUAAAGACUUAAAGGUUGAGACCGAGUCUGCGUCUCUCACAUGGGUAGGCAGACCAUUCCAUAAAAAUUGAGCUCUAUAGGAGAAAGCCCUGCAUCCAGCUGUUUGCUUAGAAAUUCUAGGGUAUAAACACCAUGGGCCCACGCAGCCAUCAUACCGCUCAGGAAGGAGACGCGUUCUGUCUCCUAGAGAUGAACGUAAUUUUGUGCGAAAAGUGCAAAUCAAUCCCAGAACAACAGCAAAGGACCUUGUGAAGGUGCUGGAGGAAACAGGUACAAAAGUGUCUAUAUCCACAGUAAAACGAGUCCUAUCUCAACAUAACCUGAAAGGCCGCUCAGCAAGGAAGAAGCCACUGCUUCAAAACCGCCAUAAAAAAGUCAGUCUACGGUUUGCAACUGCACAUAGGGACAAAGAUCGUACUUUUUGGAGAAAUGUCCUCUGGUCUGAUGAAACAAAAAUAGAACUGUUUGCCCAUAAUGACCAUCGUUAUGUUUGGAGGAAAAAGGGGGAGGCUUGCAAGCCGAAGAACACCAUCCCAACUGUGUAGCACGGGGGUGGCGGCAUCAUGUUGUGGGGUGCUUUGCUGUAGGAGGGACUGGUGCACUUCACAAAAUAGAUGGCAUCAUGAGGCAGAAAAAUGAUGUGGAUAUAUUGAAGCAACAUCUCAAGACAUCAGUCAGCAAGUUAAAGCUUGAUCGCAAAUGGGUCUGGACAAUGACCCCAAGCAUACUUCAAAAGUUGUGGCAAAAUGGCUUAAGGACAACAAAAUCAAGGUAUUGGAGUGGCCAUCACAAAGCCCUGACCUCAAUCCUAUAGAAAAUGUGUGGGCAGAACUGAAAAGGAUGUGUGAGCAAGGAAGCCAACAAACCUGUCUCAGUUACACCAGCUCUGUCAGGAGGAAUGGGCCAAAAUUCACCCAACUUACUGUGGGAAGCUUGUGGAAAACUACCUGAAACAUUUUUCCCAAGUUAAACAAUUUGAAGGCAAUGCUACCAAAUGCUAAUUGAGUGUAUGUAAACUUCUGACCCGCUGGUAAUGUGAUGAAAUAAAUAAAAGCUGAACUAGA